Molecule: ribosomal RNA, 459 nt
Filed under: uncultured bacterium
Lineage: Bacteria
Description: partial 16S ribosomal RNA
Rfam family: Bacterial small subunit ribosomal RNA
Source: RNAcentral
CCUACGGGUGGCAGCAGUGAGGAAUAUUGGUCAAUGGGCGGAAGCCUGAACCAGCCAAGUAGCGUGCGGGAUGAAGGCCCUACGGGUCGUAAACCGCUUUUGCACGGGGAUAACACCCUCCACUUGUGUAGGUCUGCAGGUACCGUUCGAAUAAGGGCCGGCUAAUUCCGUGCCAGCAGCCGCGGUAAUCCGGAAGGCCCGAGCGUUACCCGGUUUAAUGGGGUUAAACGGGAGCGUGGUCGGGCGUUCAAGUCAGCGGUAAAAUCGCGCGGCUCAACCGCGCCCCGCAGUUGAAACUGGACGCCUUGAGUUCACAACAGGCAGGCGGAAUUCGUGGUGUAGCGGUGAAAUGCAUAGAUAUCACGAGGAACCCCGAUUGCGAAGGCAGCCUGCCGGGGUGCGACUGACGCUGAGGCUCGAAGGUGCGGGUAUCAAACAGGAUUAGAUACCCCGGUAGUC